GAUCAAAGCACGGGGCCCUUUGCCCCCGGCGCGACUGUCAACCGGGUCGGACUGUCCUCAGUGCGCACCCAACCGCGUUGCGUCGCCAGGGUAGGGAUCGGCUCACGUAAACUGGCGCCAGGGGUCAGCGGCGAUGUCGGCAACCC
RNAcentral lists this ribosomal RNA (146 nucleotides) under Salmo salar (Atlantic salmon). Lineage: Eukaryota; Metazoa; Chordata; Actinopteri; Salmoniformes; Salmonidae. The record is from RNAcentral.